GACGAACGCUGGCGGCGUGCUUAACACAUGCAAGUCGAACGGAAAGGCCCCCAUCUUGGUGGGGGUGCUCGAGUGGCGAACGGGUGAGUAACACGUGGGUGAUCUGCCCUGUACUUCGGGAUAAGCUUGGGAAACUGGGUCUAAUACCGGAUAGGACCAUGGUUUAGUGUCUCAUGGUGGAAAGAUUAUUGUUUUGGUGCAGGAUGAGCUCGCGGCCUAUCAGCUUGUUGGUGGGGUAAUGGCCUACCAAGGCGUCGACGGGUAGCCGGCCUGAGAGGGUGGACGGCCACAUUGGGACUGAGAUACGGCCCAGACUCCUACGGGAGGCAGCAGUGGGGAAUAGUGCAAAAUGGGCGCAAGCCUGAUGCAGCGACGCCGCGUGGGGGAUGACGGCCUUCGGGUUGUAAACUCCUUUCGUUAGGGACGAAGCCGCACUUUUUUUGGGUGUGGUGACGGUACCUUUGUUAAGAAGCACCGGCUAACUACGUG
RNAcentral lists this ribosomal RNA (489 nucleotides) under uncultured bacterium. RNAcentral describes it as "partial 16S ribosomal RNA". It matches the Rfam family "Bacterial small subunit ribosomal RNA", at positions 28 to 507 of the family's 1533-position model. The record is from RNAcentral.